UCCAGGACAAAUUUCAAGGAAUUAUUUUGAAAAUGGUCAAAUCGAAAGGUUGUUACUCUCGUAGCAUUGAAAUAUGGGUAAACUAAAAUGCUUCGAGGUUGUGUUGAACGAGAGCAAGUCCGUGUUUCAUCCGGGCGAGCGGGUGAACGGGCAGGUGGUAGUCGAGUUGAAAGGGGACAUAAAAAUGAGAUCUCUGAGAAUUUUUAUGAGGGGUGUUGCUAAAGUUCACUGGACCGAAUCGCGAAGCACGGGCAGUCGACUCGGCUCGUACACCGAGCACUACAACGCGGAGGUGGAGUAUUUCUUCAAGAGACAAGUUCUUUUUGGUGGAGAAAUAUCGGAUGGCCGCGAUACCCUGACUGAAGGGAGGCAUGAGUUCAACUUUUCGUUUGAGUUACCCAUGGGAGGGAUUUCAACAUCAUUUGAAGGAAAGCAUGGGAGUAUUCGUUACUGGCUUAAGGCUGAAAUGGACAAGCCUUGGUCUUUCAACCACAAAACAAAGAAAGCAUUUACAGUGAUCAGUCCUACAGAUAUCAACAGACCAGAAUAUCAGACCCAAGUGGAGUGCAGUAUUGAGAAAACUCUGUGUUGUUGGCUUUGUACAUCAGGACCGAUCUCCAUAACAGCCAGAACUGACCGCCGUGGCUAUUGUCCUGGAGAGUCUAUAGCGAUAUCGGCCGAGUUCGACAACCACUCAUCUCGCACCGUGAUCCCCUACGCCACUCUGUACCAGACACAGGCUUUCUUCGCCAACGGGAAGUCGCGAGUUCGCCGGACAAAGUUCACAGUUCUCACAGGUCUACCUGUCGCUCCAAGAACAAGAGGAAGCUGGGACUCACAGCUGUUGAAGAUCCCAGCCGUUUCGCCGUCAAUAAUGAACUGCUGUGUCAUGAAGGUCGACUACUUUGUAAAGGUUGCUGUUCAUAUCCCCGGUGCUUACAACCUGACGAUGCAUCUACCCAUAGUGAUUGGUACUGUGCCAUACCGCCGCGCCCAACCCUACUGCUACACCGAGUCGAGGUACUACCGCGAAACUCAGGCUCAGUUUGCCAUGGACUUCUUGCCAGUUCCUCCUCCCUACCGGGAAACCAUCACACCACCUCCACCUUUUGAUGACCCACCAACGUAUGCUGAGAGUAUUGGCGGCGCUGUCAACAUAAAUGAUGACGACGAUGACGACAACAGCUCAAACAUGGGUGACCUCACCUACACCCCGAUGUACACCUACGUCUAUAACUACAGACCUCCGCCGGCUUAUGCAGAGGUGUGUACGGCCGACAGCUAGAUUUGUUCUUAGUCAUUGUACAAAGAUUGAUGCUUCGUCUUAAUUAGUUUACUAAAGAGUGAUCCACUCUCACAUCUUGAACAUCUGACGUUGGAUGACAGCUAGUGUUACACUGGGCAGAUAACACACUGUGGACACAAGCAUGGUUCUACAACUGGUGCAGAGAUUUAAGUUGAAUGGCAUUUCUACCAGUGAAGAUUUUCUUUCAAAGGGAGGUAAUUCUGGCCCUCGAGUUGGAUUGAUCCUUAUUUUGGUGCCAUUUGUAUAGUCUCUUUCUCUGAGACGAUUUAUCCAAACAUGGCAUUUGUAAAUAUUUGCAGAAAGGUUCUUGUUUGAAGACAUGCAAAGGAAAUACAUGUAUUUGAGUGGUGUAAAGAACUGAUGUGUUUGUUGUUUGAGCUCAACCACUAUAUAUUUAUAUCUGUGCUCAGGAUGUUUUCUUUGUUUCUGUUUUAUAUGAUUGAGCAGACAAAAACCACAUAUAGAUUAUUUGCUGUUUUUAUUUUUGUCUUUUGGGGUUGAUGGGUGAGCGUACUGUAAAUAACUAUAAUUAAAUUGGAUUAUCUUUUUAAAAAGUUUUGUUAAGUAGGAACUAUCUGUAAUAAAAGUAGAGUAUAUGCAAGAGACAUUAAAAGAGCAUUUGUUAUAACAGCAACAGUUACUUGUAAAUGUUCCUUGAAUCAGUAUUGUGCAGUAUUCUUACAAGGGUGCAGAAAUUAAAAAUAUUUCACUAGCGCGCCGGACCAGAACUAAAAUUUACUAGUCAGCCAGCCUGUAGAACAAUAUUAUAAUAUACACUGUCUUCACAUCAAUAUAUAUAUUGAUAUUAUAUGAAGAGUUUCAUCACAAAAUGCGAUAAAUGCCACUAUACACACCCAAUCCUAAAAACUGUUUUAUUCCAAAUCACGAUAAACACUAGGCCAGUUUCUCUGCAAUCUGUGAUAUAUCCUCAGAUAGUCAUAUCGCGUUUUGCUGAAAACUGAAUUUGAACUUGUGUUUGUCUACGUGUGAACAGUGUCCGAGUGGUGUUCGCACAAUGGUUUUUAAUAUGGUGUUUAUCACGUUUUGCGAUGAAACUCUUCAUUCAUAUAUAUAUAUAUAUAUAUAUAUAUAUAUAUAUAUAUAUAUUAAUAUUAUAAUGUGUCUUAUGACAAACAUUAUUAAAGACGCUUGGUAACGGA
Molecule: RNA transcript, 2466 nt
Organism: Gigantopelta aegis
Lineage: Eukaryota; Metazoa; Mollusca; Gastropoda; Neomphalida; Peltospiridae
Gene name: arrestin domain-containing protein 3-like
Exons: 8
Source: RefSeq, a predicted model, not a curated record